Molecule: ribosomal RNA, 156 nt
Filed under: Cladonia borealis
Lineage: Eukaryota; Fungi; Ascomycota; Lecanoromycetes; Lecanorales; Cladoniaceae
Description: 5.8S ribosomal RNA
Rfam family: 5.8S ribosomal RNA
About the family: 5.8S ribosomal RNA (5.8S rRNA) is a component of the large subunit of the eukaryotic ribosome. It is transcribed by RNA polymerase I as part of the 45S precursor that also contains 18S and 28S rRNA.
Source: RNAcentral
AAAACUUUCAACAACGGAUCUCUUGGUUCUGGCAUCGAUGAAGAACGCAGCGAAAUGCGAUAAGUAAUGUGAAUUGCAGAAUUCAGUGAAUCAUCGAAUCUUUGAACGCACAUUGCGCCCCUCGGUAUUCCGGGGGGCAUGCCUGUUCGAGCGUCA